GAUUAAUAUAGGUAAGGAGUAAUGCUUGCAGACUGCCCAGGGCCCGAGAGAGUACCUGAGAGCAGGCGUUGCUAUGGUCAGCAGGCUUUAGAGCCUGAUGCACAAAUCAAACCCAUCGUAGGAACUGGAUUUGAAGGUUUCUUUGGAAAAGGAAAGGCUAUUUGGGGAGUACUAAAAGUUACAAAACAAACAACCAACAACCCGGGAACUGACUGGGAAACAUUUUGAAGCCAGAACUCUAUAUUUUGUAGUUAAAUAAGGAGUGUAUCUUCUGCCACUGCAUUGUGUGGGUCAGUGUGGCAGUGGUGCAAAAUGUCACAGGGUUGAGUCCCACGUCCCGAAGACUUCUCCUCUCCCUCACAUAGUCCUGUUACUCAAGCCUCCCUCUACCCCUGAAUUAUACUUGUUCUACGUAGGCCUUACACUUACUGUGUUCUCAGCAUUCAUUCAGCCGGGCAGACUUUCUGAGAAUAUGAUAGGUUCUAGAUGCUGCUCCCAGAAGGCAGGAGUGUGAAGGGGAGGGUAUCUUAUUGAUAACCAGGAUCUGUACGAGAUAGAUUAUAUCCAAUUAAUCUUUUGUAAAGCUUGCAUUUCCUCCAAGUUGUAAGAUCUUUCUCGGGUAGAAGAAAAUCACGGCUGCACUCAGGGUGGUGGCUGGACAUCUGGCACUGGGGCUUUAUCCAUUCCAAGUCUUCGGGACAUCUUCACAUUCCCAAUGCUCUCCUUAGGACAAUUGAAAGAACGGAUGCAAAUAAUUGCUGGGUUUUCAGGCCGUGGAGACAGGAGGCCGUCGAAAGUGAAACUGAAUGACAAAUGGCUUCACUCUGAAGCAACUAGGAUCAACAACUCAGAUCUGGAUGGUGACCUGUAGUUUACAAUCCCAUCAGAAGAGUUGAGCUGGUCCUUUAAGGAGGCUGGCCAGAAAAUUGAAAAGAAGUCCAGAUGAUCACAGGACCUGGCUGCCAUAGAGUGCCAUAUUGAUGGAAAUGGCCUGUGCCUCCGCUUGAGGCCAUGAGAAAGCGCAUGCCCGAUGCUCCUACUGAACACAAAGAGCAAGGAAGCUACUUUGGCAGUGAUAUCAGUGACUGCAGUUGAGAAAGAGGACAUAGAAGAGUUCUGUGACUACCCCACCCCAAAAUAACACCCUAAAAUGAAAGUCAUCGGAGAGAACCCUUCAAAAUUGUGAUAAAGAUGCUAAAUGGUAGCUUUCCACCAUUGAUGGCAUCUGGGAGGGACUGAGGUGGAGAAGGACUCAGUUUUCUUUAGGAUGCUGACCCCAGGGAGUUUGAUCAUUCUCCAAUGUGAGACAGAAGAGGGCCACUUAUUCAUUGGUAGGCUUGGAGAUCAAAGCCAAGGCUUCAAAAACACUAAGGAAGUGCCAUCUACCAGAAAACCACAUCCCCAGCCCUGAAACAUUUAUUUGGAAACUUGGAUGAUACUUCUUAGGAAAACCCUUGGCUAAAGACGGAAUGAAGAUUUAAACAAAUAAGAAGAAACUGAGUCACAGCUGACGUGCUUCAUUGAUUAGGAUUGGACAUCUAACAAGGCUAUCACUCAGAGCACCGGGAUCCUAGUGUGGGUUUUCACAGUUCAUCUCAGAAUGGAUUUGGGGUAUGAAGAACGUGAUCACAGUUCCUAUUCAAGGUUCUCCUUUAACCUAAAAACCAUCCUAGCUGAAGAUCAAAAGAAAGAUUGGCAUUGAAUGAAGUACUGACUUAUACAGGACACCAAAAACACCAGAUCAGGUAACCAGGAAUGUUUCCUAUCUUGAUUCCCUGUCACAUACCUCACCUUUAAGUUUAAUUAUUAUCCCUCCUGAGAGUCAUCUGAGAGAAAUCUUGUUUGAGGAAUUGACUGGAUUGGAUUGACUUACAGGAAGAUUUAUGGAGAAUUGCCUUGAUUAUUAAUUGAUGUAGGAUGGCCCAGUCUACUGUGGGUGACACUAUCCCUAGGCUCGUAGACCUGGGUUCAAGAAAAAAAGCUAUGUAAGCAUAAGCCUGUAGCAAACCAGAGAGUGAGGCAACCAGGAGUAUUCCUCCAUGGUUCCUGUUUUCUGG
Molecule: small RNA, 2057 nt
Filed under: Rattus norvegicus (Norway rat)
Lineage: Eukaryota; Metazoa; Chordata; Mammalia; Rodentia; Muridae
Description: uncharacterized LOC102550644
Source: RNAcentral